CGGAGACCAGUGGCCCCUCCCGGCCUGCCCGCCUUCGCCUCCAGCGGCGCCCAGAGCACACGCCGGGCCUGGGCCAGUGGACUCCGGUAAAAUGGCCGGAAUCUUUCAGGAAGUGAGAAGAGAACAUUCAGUGUGAAGCGGGCAGAGGAGAGACUGGUCACUAAGUGCAGAGGAGGCUGGGCUAAACCAGAAAGAAUGCAGCCAUGUACAGUGGAUUCUCCUUAUUUGCCAUGUCUUGUAGAUGGACUUGGGAAGCAUGCUCAAGGCUGUGUUGGAGGCUGGUGGACAAGAGCCCUUGGAGACAAAUCCUAGAGAAGUUAGAGCUGACUGCAGAAGGCACAGAGGAGCCACUGGGGUACUGGAGAUGAUGACUCAGACAUUUCUUUUUGGAAGCCAUUAAUCAACCCACUCCAGCCACCAAUACUAAAGUUUACUCUACAUUCUGUGUCCCACCUGAAAUGAUGCCCAACGAAGUUAUCCAACAUAGCUUAUCCGAGGUUCUACGACUGAGACCAAAGGACAAUAAGGUCUGGAGGUUGGCUAGAGUCACUCACUUCUGGCCCACGCAUCUCCCUGCAGUCAGCUGCUGCUGCUGCUAAGUCACUUCAGUCGUGUCCGACUCUGUGCGACCCCACAGACGGCAGCCCACCAGGAUCCCCCAUCCCUGGGAUUCUCCAGGCAAGAACACUGGAGUGGGUUGCCAUUUCCUUCUCCAAUGCAUGAAAGUGAAAAGUGAAAGUGAAGUCGCUCAGUCAUGUCCGACUCUUCGCGACCCUAUGGACUAUAGCCUACCAGGCUCCUCCAUCCAUGGGAUUUUCCA
This is a long non-coding RNA of Dama dama (fallow deer), 820 nucleotides long. RefSeq lists it as uncharacterized. The transcript has 5 exons. The record is from RefSeq and is a predicted model, not a curated record. NCBI's taxonomy places the organism in Eukaryota, Metazoa, Chordata, Mammalia, Artiodactyla, Cervidae.